AGAGUUUGAUCCUGGCUCAGAUUGAACGCUGGCGGCAGGCCUAACGCAUGCAAGUCGAACGGUAACAGGAAACAGCUUGCUGUUUCGCUGACGAGUGGCGGACGGGUGAGUAAUGUCUGGGAAACUGCCUGAUGGAGGGGGAUAACUACUGGAAACGGUAGCUAAUACCGCAUAACGUCGCAAGACCAAAGAGGGGGACCUUCGGGCCUCUUGCCAUCGGAUGUGCCCAGAUGGGAUUAGCUAGUAGGUGGGGUAAUGGCUCACCUAGGCGACGAUCCCUAGCUGGUCUGAGAGGAUGACCAGCCACACUGGAACUGAGACACGGUCCAGACUCCUACGGGAGGCAGCAGUGGGGAAUAUUGCACAAUGGGCGCAAGCCUGAUGCAGCCAUGCCGCGUGUAUGAAGAAGGCCUUCGGGUUGUAAAGUACUUUCAGCGGGGAGGAAGGGAGUAAAGUUAAUACCUUUGCUCAUUGACGUUACCCGCAGAAGAAGCACCGGCUAACUCCGUGCCAGCAGCCGCGGUAAUACGGAGGGUGCAAGCGUUAAUCGGAAUUACUGGGCGUAAAGCGCACGCAGGCGGUUUGUUAAGUCAGACGUGAAAUCCCCGGGCUCAACCUGGGAACUGCAUCUGAUACUGGCAAGCUUGAGUCUCGUAGAGGGGGGUAGAAUUCCAGGUGUAGCGGUGAAAUGCGUAGAGAUCUGGAGGAAUACCGGUGGCGAAGGCGGCCCCCUGGACGAAGACUGACGCUCAGGUGCGAAAGCGUGGGGAGCAAACAGGAUUAGAUACCCUGGUAGUCCACGCCGUAAACGAUGUCGACUUGGAGGUUGUGCCCUUGAGGCGUGGCUUCCGGAGCUAACGCGUUAAGUCGACCGCCUGGGGAGUACGGCCGCAAGGUUAAAACUCAAAUGGAUUGACGGGGGCCCGCACAAGCGGUGGAGCAUGUGGUUUAAUUCGAUGCAACGCGAAGAACCUUACCUGGUCUUGACAUCCACAGAACUUUCCAGAGAUGGAUUGGUGCCUUCGGGAACUGUGAGACAGGUGCUGCAUGGUUGUCGUCAGCUCGUGUUGUGAAAUGUUGGGUUAAGUCCCGCAACGAGCGCAACCCUUAUCCUUUGUUGCCAGCGGUCCGGCCGGGAACUCAAAGGAGACUGCCAGUGAUAAACUGGAGGAAGGCGGGGAUGACGUCAAGUCAUCAUGGCCCUUACGACCAGGGCUACACACGUGCUACAAUGGCGCAUACAAAGAGAAGCGACCUCGCGAGAGCAAGCGGACCUCAUAAAGUGCGUCGUAGUCCGGAUUGGAGUCUGCAACUCGACUCCAUGAAGUCGGAAUCGCUAGUAAUCGUGGAUCAGAAUGCCACGGUGAAUACGUUCCCGGGCCUUGUACACACCGCCCGUCACACCAUGGGAGUGGGUUGCAAAAGAAGUAGGUAGCUUAACCUUCGGGAGGGCGCUAACCACUUUGUGAUUCAUGACUGGGGUGAAGUCGUAACAAGGU
RNAcentral lists this ribosomal RNA (1499 nucleotides) under uncultured bacterium. Its description in RNAcentral is "bacterial SSU rRNA". It matches the Rfam family "Bacterial small subunit ribosomal RNA". The record is from RNAcentral.